Molecule: long non-coding RNA, 334 nt
Organism: Fukomys damarensis (Damara mole-rat)
Lineage: Eukaryota; Metazoa; Chordata; Mammalia; Rodentia; Bathyergidae
Exons: 3
Source: RefSeq, a predicted model, not a curated record
CUCUUUCUCACAGACCUCCCUGGUGGGCUUUCGGAUCUGGCUUCACGUUCCCUUAAUUGGGUUUCUACGGGCUGGGGACCACACCAACCACACUGGUCUCUGACGAGCAUUUUUACCAGGGUGCAGUGUAUGAGGGCCUGAAGGUUUAAGAGAAAAGUAGCAGACUAUCAAUCGGCAUAAUGGAUGUUGAGCUAGGUGCACCAAGAACUUAUCUUGGACAAGAGCACCAGAAAAUUUGACAGAUACUAUUUCAACAUGAUAAUGGACAACUUGGUCACAAUUUAUACAGGAGUUACCAGGAGGACACGUAAAUUCUGUUAAUAUAAUUAAAGAC